Molecule: ribosomal RNA, 497 nt
Filed under: uncultured bacterium
Lineage: Bacteria
Description: partial 16S ribosomal RNA
Rfam family: Bacterial small subunit ribosomal RNA
Source: RNAcentral
GACGAACGCUGGCGGCGUGCCUAAUACAUGCAAGUAGAACGCUGAAGAGAGGAGCUUGCUCUUCUUGGAUGAGUUGCGAACGGGUGAGUAACGCGUAGGUAACCUGCCUUGUAGCGGGGGAUAACUAUUGGAAACGAUAGCUGAUACCGCAUAACAAUGGAUGACACAUGUCAUUUAUUUGAAAGGGGCAAUUGCUCCACUACAAGAUGGACCUGCGUUGUAUUAGCUAGUAGGUGAGGUAAUGGCUCACCUAGGCGACGAUACAUAGCCGACCUGAGAGGGUGAUCGGCCACACUGGGACUGAGACACGGCCCAGACUCCUACGGGAGGCAGCAGUAGGGAAUCUUCGGCAAUGGGGGCAACCCUGACCGAGCAACGCCGCGUGAGUGAAGAAGGUUUUCGGAUCGUAAAGUUCUGUUGUAAGUCAAGAACGGGUGUGAGAGUGGAAAGUUCACACUGUGACGGUAGCUUACCAGAAAGAGACGGCUAACUACGUG